UACGGGGGAUGCAAGCGUUAUCCGGAAUCAUUGGGCGUAAAGCGCCUGUAGGUUGUUUAUUAAGUCUGUUGUUAAAGCCUGGGGCUUAACCCCAGAUAAGCAAUGGAAACUAAUAGACUAGAGUAUGGCAGGGGUAGAGGGAAUUUCUAGUGUAGCGGUGAAAUGCGUAGAUAUUAGAAAGAACACCGGUGGCGAAAGCGCUCUACUGGACCAUUACUGACACUCAGAGGCGAAAGCUAGGGUAGCAAAAGGGAUUAGAUACCCCUGUAGUCCUAGCCGUAAACGAUGGAUACUAGAUGUUGUGCAGUCGUACAGUAUCGUAGCUAACGCGUUAAGUAUCCCGCCUGGGGAGUACGCUCGCAAGGGUG
Molecule: ribosomal RNA, 368 nt
Filed under: uncultured phototrophic eukaryote
Lineage: Eukaryota
Description: SSU rRNA
Rfam family: Bacterial small subunit ribosomal RNA
Source: RNAcentral